Molecule: ribosomal RNA, 468 nt
Filed under: uncultured bacterium
Lineage: Bacteria
Description: partial 16S ribosomal RNA
Rfam family: Bacterial small subunit ribosomal RNA
Source: RNAcentral
GACGAACGCUGGCGGCGUGCUUAACACAUGCAAGUCGAACGGAAGGGCCCGGCUUUUGUUUGUUUCUCGUUUGGCGAGGGGGUGAGUAACACGUGUGUAACCUGCCCUUGACUUUGUGAUAUCUUCAGGAAACUGGGGCUAUUACCGGGUAUGAGCUCCUGCUCCAUGUUGGGGGUUGGAAAGAUUCGGCGGUUGUGGAUGUACUCGCGGCUUAUCAGCUUGUUGGUGGGGUAGGGGCUUACCAGGGCUUUGACGGGUAGCCGGCCUGAGAGGGUUACCGGCCACAUUGGGACUGCGAUACGGCCCAGAAUCCUACGGGAGGCAGCAGUGGGGAAUAUUGCACAAUGGGGGGAAGCCUGAUGCAGCAACGCCGCGUGCGGGAUGCCGGGCUUCGGGUUGUAAACCGAUUUCGCAUGUGACGAAGCGUGAGUGACGGUAAUGGGUAAAGAAGCAACGGCUAACUACGUG